UCGCUGGCAACCCGCCCCGGGACUGGGGCACCACGGCAAGGUCCGCCCCUGGCGGCGGUGAGGGGCCACGUUGUGGGCACGAGCGAAGGCGGGUGACCUGGAGGGUGUGGGAAUUUGUGAGCGAGGUGGUGCCGGGAACCGUGAAUGCACAGGGGGGCGUGUAUGUGUGGAAACGCGCGCGCGCGCGCGUGUGUGUGUACGUACAGUGAGGCCGGCGGUGGGCUGGUCCCUGUGCCCAGGAGGGAGCCCCGCGUGGGGUGGAGUGUGGGGUUUUGCCUGGAAUAGAUGACUUCCAGGACCGUCUGCCUGGUGGGGCAAUGACAGUUCUGAGGCUGCCUAUGAAAUGGCUGAGGCACAGUGCCUAGGGGGCGGUGGUGAUCUCAUACCUCCCCUUUCUCAUCGGAGGUGGAGGGCCAAUGCUGGGGAGGGUGUUAGACCCACCAACGGCCCCCAGGCAAAGUCCCCAGGAGAAAGUGCUUCCCGCCCCAGGUCACCUGGCAGGUUCGGAGCAGAAUGGAACUCAGAUUCAGCGCUCUCCACUUUUAAGUCCCGAAUCCUCAGUUUUACUUCUUUGGGCCUGCCUAACUCUGAUUCUCACAGAGCCAUGUUGUGAAAAGGGCACUGGACCAGAGAUCAAGAAAUUUGAGUUCUAGUCUAGGGUCUGCACGCCCCCCUCCCCCCCAGCUGAGAGACCUGAGCAAUUCACCCCGGUCUGUCUCAGCCUCAGUUCCUUGGGCUGUUGAGUGGUUUCCAAGGGCCAGCCGGGUUGCAGCGGCCCUGUGAUUUGGAGCACUCCCCUCUCUUGCCAGCCGGGCAGGCCCUAGAGCACUCCUCCCUCUCUUCUCCACUCAUCCCCGGGUUGCUUAUCCUUUCUGCCUUGCAGCCCUCCACCCGUCCCAUGCAGUGCAUCCCCUGCGGCAGGAAUGGAAUGCUGACUCCAGUAGUGGGCUCCGAGGGAAAGGUCAUCAGAGGAAUUGUCUGGUGGCAAGGCCUCUCCCUGGCGUAACAAGGAAGGGCUUCCUGAGAGAGGUAGGGGCCAUGGUCCAGAUCCAGGAGCUGGUUUUUCCAGGUCAGCAUUAACAGGAUGCUCAAGUGUGGUGUGAUGUGGACAAUCCUGGGCCUCAAAGAUCUCAACUUCACCAGCUCCCCCCUCAGCUGGGGGCCAUUAGGUGGUCCUGGGGGAGGGACUCCCGACCAAGUAAGCCCUGCUAGGCCUUCUACAUGUGUCUUCAGGACCCCUUAUUUCUAAAGAAUCCCUCAGGAGUCAUUGGGGCGGUGGGGGAGGGAUGUUCCUUAAGUGGGGCUCUAGCCUUUCUCCAGUCCACAGUUGGCUCUAAUCUGUUUUUCAUGUUGGUUUUUCUUUUGCUGUUUCCCUUCAAGAAGGGAUUUGUUGGUUAAAAAUUUAGAAUUCAAAACACCUGUCCAACUAUGAAAUUGGCUAAUAAAAACAUGAAGGGUUGUUCUGAGGAUCAGAUGAAUCAAUGCAUGGAAAGCACUUUGCAUUUAAAGACACGUGAGCUAUGAAUAUUACCACACUGGAGAAUGGAGAGCCUGAGGAGGGGAGGGCUUGCCAGCAGUCCGGAGCAAGGUGUGGCAGGGCCCUGUCCUCUGGUCCCUGUCAGAGCCGUCAGAAGUCCUCCGCAGCCUCCUCCCUGGAGCCAGAGGACCUCAGGGACUCUGCUGCCAGCUUUGUGGUGAAGACAGGAGUUUGGAUGGGUUUUCCCACGUCUGGAGCUCAUGUAAGACAAGCGCCUGGUUCCCAUCUGGGAAGGGAGUUUCGAGGUGGCCUGUCACACGGUGCGAUGUGCCCCUGCUGCCCCGAUGGAUGCCAGAGCCUGCUUCCAGCUUUGUGCCAAAGCCGCGGGUGGAGGGCUGCUGUCUGCCAUCCCCUCAGCUGGCUCUCCAGGGCCCACAGGCCGGGACUCCCAGAUCUGUGCCCAAACACCCCUCCUUUGUUGUUUUCCCCGAAGUGGUUAGUCUCUUAGGGCCUUGCUGUGGUCUUAAUGUGUCAGGUGCUGAUGACUUAGCCACCUGGGAGGCUGGUACACAUACAGAGGGCAUGUGGGUGCUUUAGUCCACCAGCUCAGGCCUGCCUAUCCCGAGUCAGGGUGAGUGGGGUCCUGAGAUGUGUCCCCACCCCACAGCCUCUCCCCUGCUUACCCUUCUCAGUCCAACUUCCCUUUUUCACCUACAGGCCUUCCUGAGCUUGCCCUGACCCACCUGCUGGCCAUCCCCUUUCCUGUGGUCUGUGAAAUCUGCUGCCCUUCCAGAAUGUGCCACGCAUGAUCUCUUCAUUCUGUGGCCUUGCUGUUCUCAGAGUGGCCCUUACCUGACCUCUUUCCCUCCUGGACCACCAAGAUCCAGGAUGGCUUCAGGCCUUGGGAAACCCCGAUCUCUAGGGGACCGGUGACCCUUCUCUGACCUCCCAUGGCCUCAGGGAAUUUGUUCCUCUCACAGGACUCAUUUCACUGGCUUGAGUCUGGCCCUGGCUCUCCUCGUGAGAUUUGAGCUGCAGACACCCUGCCAGUGCUUGUGUCCUAGCACGUGCUUGAGAAGUGCUGGUCUAGUGUGUGAGUGAACACUUUGGCUGGAACACUCCUGCCCAGACCCAGUGGUUCCCUUCCCCCGUCUCCUCUGAGCAGUGUGGAGCCAGCAUCUGGAGCCCGCCCUCACUGCCAGCACCCCAGGCCCUGUGCCGUCCACUGCUGGGCCUGGGUGGUCUGUCCUCAGCUCACGUAGGAGUCAUUAGUUUCCAAGGCUGCCGCAACAAAUUGCCCCAAACUUAGCGGCUUAAAACAAUGGCCACUUACUGCCUCACGGUUUCUGUAAGGGGUCUGGGCACAGGGCGGCUCGGGUGGCUCAGCCGGUCUCUGUUGGGGUCUCAGGGGUGUCGGCAGGGCUGCUUCCCUUCUGGAGGCUCUGACAGUCAAUCUGUUUCCAAGUUCGUUAAGCUUGUUGGCAGAAUUUGUUCCCUUGGAGUUGUGGGACUGAGCAUCCCAUGUCCUUGCUAGCUGCCAGCCGGGGUCAUUCUCAGCCACCUUCACUUCCUGGCUUGUGCCCUCCCCUCCUCCCCGCCCUCAGAGCCACCGAUGGCGAUGGCGGAUGGAGUUCUCGAGCUUUCCAGUCCCCGACUGACACUUCUGCUGCAUUUCUCUUCUGCCGCCCUUUUCUGUUUUUAAGGGCUCAUGUGAUUACAUUGGACCCAGCCAGAUAAUCCAGGAUAAUCUCUCUAUUUUAAGGUCAACCUAUUGGUAAACUUCAUUCCAUCUGCAAAGUCCCUUCACAACAGCACCUUGAUUAGCAUUUGAAUGAGCAGAGAACCCAUGGGGAUACUGGGGCAUCUUUAUUUUUUUUGUAAUUUAAAAAAAAAUAGACUCCAUGCCCAAUGUAGGGCUUGAACUCAUGACCCUGAGAUCAAGAGUCACAUGUUCUAUUGACAGAGCCAGCCGGGGGCAUCUUUAGUUCUGCUCAGUCCCAGCAAUCAGGCCCAGUGUGGCUCUUCCUCCUCGGAGCUCCACGAGGGCCACUGCUCUGGGAGAGCCGGGGUUUCCACAGGGAGCACUUAGCCAAGUGCCCUCCUCUCACGGACCAGGAUGACAGUGCUGGGUACCCAGGUUGCCCUUGGAGACACCUGGGCGUGCUCCCUGUCAGACUGGGCCAGUUCCCCUGAGCAGCUGGCGCCCACGCGGGAGUCAGAAUUGGGCCGUGGUCCCCUGGCCCUUUGCUGAAUGUCCUCUGAGUGGGUAGCUUAGGGCAGGGGAAUGACAGCCUGGGGACAUUUCACUUUCAGACCUCUUUGUGGAUUUGCUCACAUCAGCUUUUUCACAGGAAAGCCCUGGCACAUCUGGCCAGUUUGUGUCCACCUCAGCGCCCACCAUCCCCCCUUGGCCCUCAGUCCCUAAAUGCAACAGGCUUUCACCUCUGCCCCCCUCCUUCUGCCUUUCCCACUGCCAGCCACCCUUCCCCCCCCCCCCCACCUCCUCAGGGUGCUAUGUGCCAGGGACACAGACUCCAGAAUCCCUCAGGCCAAGGCAGGAGUUCUGCUGCUGCCUCCAAGCUCUGCGACCUUGACCACGAAUGGAGCCUCUGGCCCCCAUCUUUGCAAUGGUGAUAACCUGGCAAAGUCCUGCAGAGAAAAUGAAACACUGUACAAAAACCCAGAACAGGCUCAAUCCCCCCCCACCCCACUGCUGGCCAUUGUUUUUGCCUUGGCAGCAGGUGGAGUGACCCCGCUUUGGCCUGUUUUCCCUGCUGUGCGGUCAGUCACACACCAGGGGAUCGUGACCCUCUGCUCAUCUGGCUGCCCCAGGUGCACCGUGACUCUCCCAAGGGCAGGGCCUCGUCUUUCAUCUCGGGAUCUGCAGCGGCCAGCACAGGCCUGCAUUUAGUAAAUGUAUCUGGGAAAAGCACAGGCAGGCGGGAAGGUCGGGGCUGAUGUGGCAUCUUUUCCCCUUGCUGAGUGCAGAGCGAGGCCAGCCCUGUGAGACAAAGCAGCUUAUCUAAGGCCACCGGGUGUCGGGCUUGCAAGGAGCUGUCUCUGGGCUCUCACGAGGACCUCCCGGCGCAUGCCAGCCCCUCAUGCUUGCACUGCACUCGAUAUUUCAAAGCACUGUGUCAUCUGAAGCUAACUUCGAGGGGCUGUGGCAGCAGGGGCACUAACCUCAUUUCCCUGGUGGGCGAAACUGAGGCCCAACACCGUGACCAUAAUUCUCUGCUAAGCCCUGUAUCCUGGCCCUGUUCAUCAGCCCGGUCUGAUGAGGAAGGCCCCACUGAAGAGCCACACUCUGGUGAGGACCCCUCAAGACUUAGCAGCUAUUCCUUAAUUCCUGUAUUCAUUUCACAAAAUGUUUCAGGUGCCUGCCCUGUGACCCAGUGGGAUGCAGCAGUGAGCAGUUUCUACAGCUUCCCCCGCGCUGGCCCAUCUCAGUGCAGAAACGGGGUCAUUGCUGUCACAAGUUAGGGGUGUGAAUCCACUUCUUCUGAUCGUGGCUGGUCCAGUGAGGGUAAAGAAUGAACUAAUGUUAACGAGAGAGAGAGAGUGGGAGAGAGAGACAGGGGGA
Long non-coding RNA from Lynx canadensis (Canada lynx), 5060 nucleotides. RefSeq lists it as uncharacterized. The record is from RefSeq and is a predicted model, not a curated record. NCBI's taxonomy places the organism in Eukaryota, Metazoa, Chordata, Mammalia, Carnivora, Felidae. The transcript has 3 exons.